RNAcentral lists this ribosomal RNA (497 nucleotides) under uncultured bacterium. RNAcentral's name for it is "partial 16S ribosomal RNA". It matches the Rfam family "Bacterial small subunit ribosomal RNA", at positions 28 to 507 of the family's 1533-position model. The record is from RNAcentral.
GAUGAACGCUGGCGGCGUGCCUAAUACAUGCAAGUCGAGCGAACGGACGAGAAGCUUGCUUCUCUGAUGUUAGCGGCGGACGGGUGAGUAACACGUGGAUAACCUACCUAUAAGACUGGGAUAACUUCGGGAAACCGGAGCUAAUACCGGAUAAUAUUUUGAACCGCAUGGUUCAAAAGUGAAAGACGGUCUUGCUGUCACUUAUAGAUGGAUCCGCGCUGCAUUAGCUAGUUGGUAAGGUAACGGCUUACCAAGGCAACGAUGCAUAGCCGACCUGAGAGGGUGAUCGGCCACACUGGAACUGAGACACGGUCCAGACUCCUACGGGAGGCAGCAGUAGGGAAUCUUCGGCAAUGGGCGAAAGCCUGACGGAGCAACGCCGCGUGAGUGAUGAAGGUCUUCGGAUCGUAAAACUCUGUUAUUGGGGAAGAACAUAUGUGGAAGUAACUGUGCACAUCUUGACGGUACCUAAACAGAAAGCCACGGCUAACUACGUG